Molecule: long non-coding RNA, 719 nt
Organism: Daucus carota subsp. sativus
Lineage: Eukaryota; Viridiplantae; Streptophyta; Magnoliopsida; Apiales; Apiaceae
Exons: 2
Source: RefSeq, a predicted model, not a curated record
GGUGAGUAAUCAAUCCUUAUCCCUUUUUGCGCGACUAAGUAAAACUUGUAAGCUUUAAGAUUCUGCCCAGGUGUCGGCAGCUGGGACAUUUCUAAGCUAGUUGCUUUCUAAGUUUUUACUGGACCUGCUUUUCCACUUCAGGCAGUCAUGAAGUUGUCCACAUCUUAGAUGAAUUCAUGACGAGAGACGCCUCUCGCUUUAGAAAAAGAGCGUAGAGUAGCUCAUUCCAUGAAUCCGGAACUCCAGGUAGGCACCAGUGGCUGCAGUCCUGUCUACUGUGAGACGAAUGGGGGACAAGAUAAUAAAUAGAUGAAUGUCCAUCUUUUCUUCUUGAUGUCAUAUUACUAACAUCUAGCACUUCUAAUUGGCUACCGUGCGAUUUGCUCAACUGGGAUGAUAACACUUCUUUAAAUAUGUUGUAGUUUCCUAAACUGUAAGAUGGCACUUUGUACGUGUCUGGUUCUGGCAGUUUCUCCUCGUGGCAGCCUCCGCCAUGUCUCCAAUCCCCGCCUCUGUAUCAUCAACAUCAUCUUUAGUUUAGGCUUAACUUUUGUACAUAGAAAAGAGUAGGAAAUUAGACAAUCAAACCAAAACGUGGACUUGCAGCAAACCUGAAAUGUACAGGGGAAUAUGUGCGAAAAAAGACUUGAGUCUUGUUUGUAUUUACUUCCCGCUGUAUAAAGCCUAUGACAGUAUCUAAGGACUUCCGAUAUGCAGCA